UACGUAGGGUCCGAGCGUUGUCCGGAGUUACUGGGCGUAAAGCGCGCGCAGGCGGCCCGGCAAGCAUGGCGUGAAAGCCCCCGGCUCAACCGGGGAGGGUCGUCGUGGACUGCUGGGCUUGAGGGCGGUAGGGGUUGGUGGAAUGCCCGGUGUAGUGGUGAAAUGCGUAGAGAUCGGGCGGAACACCCGUGGCGAAGGCGGCCAACUGGGCCGACCCUGACGCUGAGGCGCGAAGGCGUGGGGAGCGAACGGG
RNAcentral lists this ribosomal RNA (253 nucleotides) under uncultured Thermomicrobiales bacterium. RNAcentral's name for it is "partial 16S ribosomal RNA". It matches the Rfam family "Bacterial small subunit ribosomal RNA", at positions 524 to 776 of the family's 1533-position model. The record is from RNAcentral. Lineage: Bacteria; Pseudomonadati; Thermomicrobiota; Thermomicrobia; Thermomicrobiales.